CAGCAGCCGCGGGAACACGAAGGGGGCUAGCGUUGUUCGGAUUUACUGGGCGUAAAGGGCGCGUAGGCGGACUGAUAAGUCAGGGGUGAAAUCCCAAGGCUCAACCUUGGAACUGCCUUUGAUACUGUUUGUCUUGAGUUCGAGAGAGGUAAGUGGAACUGCGAGUGUAGAGGUGAAAUUCGUAGAUAUUCGCAAGAACACCAGUGGCGAAGGCGGCUUACUGGCUCGAAACUGACGCUGAGGCGCGAAAGCGUGGGGAGCAAACAGGAUUAGAUACCCCCGUAGUCCCUGUCUCUUAUAC
Molecule: ribosomal RNA, 301 nt
Filed under: uncultured bacterium
Lineage: Bacteria
Description: partial 16S ribosomal RNA
Rfam family: Bacterial small subunit ribosomal RNA
Source: RNAcentral